Long non-coding RNA from Nematostella vectensis (starlet sea anemone), 151 nucleotides. RefSeq lists it as uncharacterized. Lineage: Eukaryota; Metazoa; Cnidaria; Anthozoa; Actiniaria; Edwardsiidae. The transcript is spliced from 4 exons. The record is from RefSeq and is a predicted model, not a curated record.
UCCUCUAAAGUCCAUGACAGAGAUCCAUCACCCUCUUCCAGUGAUGAGUAUAAUCAACCCCUCAGCACUCCAAUAAAAAAAACAGAGUCCUCUAAAGUCCUUAGUAUAAACACUCUUGGAAAAGGCAAGAAACAUGACGAGCAAUCUAAAG